This 267-nucleotide ribosomal RNA is filed under the name uncultured bacterium. Its description in RNAcentral is "partial 16S ribosomal RNA". It matches the Rfam family "Bacterial small subunit ribosomal RNA", at positions 793 to 1055 of the family's 1533-position model. The record is from RNAcentral.
GUCCAUACUGUAAACGUUGUUGAUUAGGUCUUGGAGCAUUCGAACGCUCCAGGGCUCAAGCUAACGCAAUAAAUCAACCGCCUGAGGACUACGGCCGCAAGGCUAAAACUCAAAGGAAUUGACGGGGGCCCGCACAAGCGGUGGAGCAUGUGGCUUAAUUCGAUGCAACGCGAAGAACCUUACCCGGAUUUGACAUGGUUGUGGUAGAACACUGAAAGGUGGACGACCCCGCAAGGGGAGCAAUCACAGGUGCUGCAUGGCUGUCGU